UCUUUGUAAUCAUUUAAAUGAAAGGGGGGAAUAUAGUCUUUGGAGAAAUAUCAGAACUGCUCCUUUUUCCCUCAGCGGGAGGGGCGUGUCCUCGUCUCUAUUUGAUUGACAGCAGUUGGAAAGUAGACGCAAAGUUAGCACGUGUGCACUGCAGCCUACGCAUGGACUCUACUGUGUCAACGAGCUUACAUAACGUUGACAGGGUUGUUAGCAGUGGUAAUAAAGAGUAAGGACCACACCAGCAUCGUAAACGGACUUAAGUGAGAUUAGCAGAUCAGUGCCAGCAGUGAGUCUGAUGUGAAGAGAAAAGGUGAUACAGAAGGAGAGAGGAGAGGAAAGAGAGUGGAUGUGAUGGACAUUGGCUGAAAAGUCUGGCCUUUCAGUAAUUGUGGCUGUGGUGGAGCAGAGGUCAGAGGCAGUCUGGAGAAGGAUGCCCAUGCCAGGAGGGAGGUCAAGGCACCAACUCAUUCCUCUUCCUAGACACUUCCAUUUAUCAGGCCCGACUGCAUGCAUCACACACCCUCAAGAUGACUGUGUUGAUUUAUGACCAACCUUGAAACCACUGUGUGCUGGUCAUCUCUAAUUACCUGCAUUAUGACUGAGGUCACAGUGGCUGCCUGCAUGUUUUCCAACACAAGUGCACAGCCUCUUUGCACAGUUUUAUGUAUUGUUUUAUGCUGAAGGUAGGUGAGAGUCAACAGUGGCUGUUAUGUAAAUCUGUCACAUUGUGUCAUUUUCGGCCCUUCAUCAUGACAAAAAUGACCUUUAUGUUGCUUGACAGGACGUCCGCCAAAAGGCCAUCCAUCCAAGUUUAUUUGCUUCUUCUUGGAAUUCCAGGGCAUAGAACAGCAGAUACCACUAUCACAUCCACAAUACCAUGUGAAGCAUAUACUGUCACAUGACCUACAGCAGCAAGUUGUGAGGACGACAAACAUACUGCGGGCAGAAUUACCAUGGAGAUGCACUCAGCCUAGUCAAAGGCCCAACAGAGCCAAUGGUUUAUUUCCAUUCCUCGGCCAGGGAAUUGUCUCCAGAAUGCUUGCAGUGAGAAAACUCAUUCCGAUGAUCUGGGUCAGAUAGAGGCACUUCCAUCGGCCACAGACAAUUCCGGCUCGGAACGACAUCAGAACUUUAAAG
Long non-coding RNA from Scatophagus argus, 1137 nucleotides. RefSeq lists it as uncharacterized. NCBI's taxonomy places the organism in Eukaryota, Metazoa, Chordata, Actinopteri, Scatophagidae. The record is from RefSeq and is a predicted model, not a curated record. The transcript is spliced from 6 exons.